UCUUCCCUCUGGCGGCGUGCCUAAUACAUGCAAGUCGAGCGAACAGACGAGGAGCUUGCUCCUCUGACGUUAGCGGCGGACGGGUGAGUAACACGUGGAUAACCUACCUAUAAGACUGGGAUAACUUCGGGAAACCGGAGCUAAUACCGGAUAAUAUAUUGAACCGCAUGGUUCAAUAGUGAAAGACGGUUUUGCUGUCACUUAUAGAUGGAUCCGCGCCGCAUUAGCUAGUUGGUAAGGUAACGGCUUACCAAGGCAACGAUGCGUAGCCGACCUGAGAGGGUGAUCGGCCACACUGGAACUGAGACACGGUCCAGACUCCUACGGGAGGCAGCAGUAGGGAAUCUUCCGCAAUGGGCGAAAGCCUGACGGAGCAACGCCGCGUGAGUGAUGAAGGUCUUCGGAUCGUAAAACUCUGUUAUUAGGGAAGAACAAAUGUGUAGGUAACUAUGCACGUCUUGACGGUACCUAAUCAGAAAGCCACGGCUAACUACGUG
This 497-nucleotide ribosomal RNA is filed under the name uncultured bacterium. RNAcentral's name for it is "partial 16S ribosomal RNA". It matches the Rfam family "Bacterial small subunit ribosomal RNA", at positions 36 to 507 of the family's 1533-position model. The record is from RNAcentral.